This 1943-nucleotide long non-coding RNA is filed under the name Capsicum annuum. RNAcentral's name for it is "long non-coding RNA (CANN_LNC018432)". The record is from RNAcentral. Lineage: Eukaryota; Viridiplantae; Streptophyta; Magnoliopsida; Solanales; Solanaceae.
AUAAGUUCAGUUUUGAAACUUUAUGUUUCAAGAAAUUCAUAUAUUAGUUCGAUUUUAAAACUUUAUGUUUCAAGAAAUUCAUAUAUUAGUUCGAUUUUAAAACUUUAUGUUUCAAGAAAUUCACACACUAUCUGUUAAUCAUGAAACAUUAUUGCUUUAUCCGCCAUUCCUGGAUUUAAUGUUAAUUAGUGAAGCUGGUAUCGUUAUCAAUACAAGACAACCAAUCCGCUGAUUAUUUAGUUCAUGUUUGGCACUCUGGUUACUUAUAUAUCUCUUUCUAUUGGAUGAAACUAUCUCUCCGACCCCACUUGGUGGGAAUAUACUGGGUAUGUUGUUGCACUGAAUGAAACUAUCCUGAUUUUGUGAAUGCACACGACGUGCAUCAUUCGGAAAGAAAUAAUGCGUGCAGUAAGAUGAUUAGUACAGUCGGUAUCUUAUAUUUGUAAACUCCUCCAUUGCCAGACCCUCCUUGAUUCCUCUACUUAUGUGUAGCAAUCAAGAAGCAUCAUGCUUUUUUGGUUAAGAGUGAUAUGUACAGAUUCUGUUUACAUAACAGGCACUAAUCAAACGGCUUCUGUUCCACGUUAUCGUAGCUAGCUUCUUUGCAGAUGAUCGGGAAGAACCAACAUCAGCAAAUGAUUUCAAGGCAUCACCUUCUCCAUCAAAUGCCAAUCUUGGUGGUUCGACAGGUUCCAAUAGCCCACCAUCACGUGGCACCUCUAGCGAAUCAUCUGGUGGGCAAGGCAGUCCCCUGAAUCAUAGCGGUCCAGUAUGCAACAACGAAGAAGACUGAAGGGAUCUCGAGCAUGCCUUGGAAAUGAGUAGUUAUUAAUGCUCUCUUUUCUUGAUCAAUUGAACUUCUUGUCGCGACUAAAUUCACUGAAGUAGACUGAGGGGAUUGUAAUUUAGCUUUUUGUGUUUCAUCAAUCAUAGGAGAUGGUUUGGCUUUAGCUGUUAUUAUGUACUGUUACCUAGGGACAUCACUUCCCAUAUUAGCCAUCUUCAACUUACAGUGCAUCUUAUUGCAAUUCUGUGAUCUAGAAGAGUAUCAAUUAUGUUGAAAAGGUAAGUGUUAAUUAAUUUUGAAGGAUCGGAAACACUUGCCUUUUCAACAUAAUUGAUACUCUUCUAGAUCACAGAAUUGCAAUAAGAUGCGCUGUAAGUUGAAGAGGGCCAAUAUGGAAAGUGAUAUCCCUAGAUAACAGUACAUAAUAAUAGCUAAAGCCAAACCGUGUCCUAUAACUGAUGAAACACAAAAAGCUAAAUUACAAUCCCCUCAGUCUUCUUCAAUGAAUUUAGUCGCGACAAGAAGUUCAAUUGAUCAGAAAAGAGAAUAACUACUCAUUUCCAAGGCAUGCUCGAGAUCCCUUCAGUCUUCUUCAUUGUUGCAUACUAGACCGCUAUGAUUCAGGGGACUGCCUUGCCCACCAGAUGAUUCGCUAGAGGUGCCACGUGAUGGUGGGCUAUUGGAACCCGUCGAACCACCAAGAUUGGCAUUCGAUGGAGAAGGUGAUGCCUCGAAAUCAUUUGCUGAUGUUGGUUCUUCCCGACCAUCUGCAAAGAAGCUAGCUACGAUAACCUGGAACAGAAGCCGUUUGAUUAAUGCCUGCUAUGUAAACAGAAUCUGUACAUAUCACUCUUAACAAAAAAGGCAUGAUGCUUCUUGAUUGCUCACAUAAGUAGAGGAAUCAAGGAGGGAGAAGGUCUGGGAAUCGAGGAGUUUACAGAUAUAAGAUAUUGACUAUUACUCAGCAUACUGCACGCAUUCUUUCUUUCUUUUCCGAAUGAUGCACAUAGCGUGCAUUCACAAAACUAGGAUAGUUUCAUCUAAUGCAACAACAUACCCAGUAAAUUUUCCACCAAGUGGGGUCUGGGAGAUAGUUUCAUCCAAUGGAAAGAGGUAAAUAAGUAACUAGAGUCCCAAAACAUGAACUAAAUAACAA